RNAcentral lists this ribosomal RNA (494 nucleotides) under uncultured bacterium. RNAcentral's name for it is "partial 16S ribosomal RNA". It matches the Rfam family "Bacterial small subunit ribosomal RNA", at positions 29 to 523 of the family's 1533-position model. The record is from RNAcentral.
AACGAACGCUGGCGGCGUGCUUAACACAUGCAAGUCGAGCGAUGAAAGCCUUAUGAACUAUUCGUAGUGAUUGGGGCCGGAUUAGCGGCGGACGGGUGAGUAACGCGUGAGCAACCUGCCUUAAACAACGGGAUAGCCUCGGGAAACCGGGAUUAAUACCGUAUGAGACCCCGCCUUCACAUGAAGAAGAGGUUAAAGAUUUAUCGGUUUAAGAUGGGCUCGCGUCUGAUUAGCUAGUUGGUGAGAUAAAAGCCCACCAAGGCAACGAUCAGUAACCGGCUUGAGAGAGUGAACGGUCACAUUGGAACUGAGACACGGUCCAAACUCCUACGGGAGGCAGCAGUGGGGAAUAUUGCACAAUGGGGGAAACCCUGAUGCAGCGACGCCGCGUGAGCGAUGAAGGAAUUCGUUUCGUAAAGCUCUGACCAAGGGGAAGAUAAUGACAGUACCCUUGGAGGAAGCCCCGGCUAAAUACGUGCCAGCCGCCGCCGUAA